Molecule: non-coding RNA, 212 nt
Organism: Oryza barthii
Lineage: Eukaryota; Viridiplantae; Streptophyta; Magnoliopsida; Poales; Poaceae
Source: Rfam
AAACAAACUAGUAGUGUGUUUUUAUAUCCAACUUUAAUCAUUCAUCUUAUUUUUAAAAAAAUUUAUGAUUAGUAUUUUUAUUGUUAUUAGAUAAUAAAAUAUGAAUAGUAUUUUAUGUUUGACUUAUGUUUUUAAUAUUUUUUGAAAACUCAUGUUUGCACUUAAAAUAGGAUGAUCAAAGUUGGACACGAAAACUCAUGUUUGCGCUUAAA